RNAcentral lists this long non-coding RNA (509 nucleotides) under Parus major (Great Tit). RNAcentral's name for it is "lncRNA (ENSPMJG00000009307.1)". Lineage: Eukaryota; Metazoa; Chordata; Aves; Passeriformes; Paridae. The record is from RNAcentral.
UUAAAUUUUUUUAAGCCUGCUUAAUCUAGGAGACUUUCUUUUCUCAUUUACAGGGGAGUUUUGCACAGUCCUUCUGACAAGUGCAAGAUCGCCAGUGGGAAUGAGACCUGUAAUUAAUGCGUUGAAUGUUCAGUGCAAGCAAAAGGCUCUUGGAUGAAGAAGCUCUUCUGGGUCUGUCAGGCGUCUGACAAGAGGACAAACAGUGUUAGCUGGAAUGGUGGAAUCUGUGAUAUGUGAUACAUUUAAUGCAAGGUCUCUGUCUGAGUCCGGUUCAAAUAGUUCAACGAAUUCCAUGUAGACUCACCGUCUUAGGACUGAUAAAGGUUGAUACCUGGACUGCUUAACGGAGAAAAAUCUGAGCAUGUGGUUUCCAGCAUUCAUUGGCUGGUGAGAAUCAAAACCUCUCCUCAUUUGCCCAAGGAUCCUAAUGUUUUUGCAGUAAAUUUUUUUGGAAAAGGCAGAAAAAUGCCGAUACUUCACAGAGAAUAUAGAUAGAAAAGAACAGCAGG